AGCUACCGGAAGUGGUACUGUGGCUCAAGUGGUACAGCACUAGCCUUGAGCUGAAGAGCUGAGGGACAGCGCCCAGGCCUGCGGUUCAGGCUCUACAACCA
Dipodomys spectabilis (banner-tailed kangaroo rat) is the source of this 101-nucleotide long non-coding RNA. RefSeq lists it as uncharacterized. The record is from RefSeq and is a predicted model, not a curated record. NCBI's taxonomy places the organism in Eukaryota, Metazoa, Chordata, Mammalia, Rodentia, Heteromyidae. The transcript has 3 exons.